Triticum dicoccoides is the source of this 577-nucleotide long non-coding RNA. RefSeq lists it as uncharacterized. The record is from RefSeq and is a predicted model, not a curated record. Lineage: Eukaryota; Viridiplantae; Streptophyta; Magnoliopsida; Poales; Poaceae. The transcript is spliced from 3 exons.
UCGGCCAAUUUUUGUAGAUCAUACGGCACAACCAGCAUCUAUUUUAGAAAGGUUCUCCAUGCCAUAGGGGAGCUUCGUAAUGAUUACAUAACGCCACCAUCAUUGGAGAUCCCCACAAAAAUUACAGGAAAUCAUCGAUUUGACCCAUAUUUUAAGGAUUGUAUUGGAGCUAUCGAUGGUACACAUGUGCAAGCAGGUGUUACCAAAGAUGUGGAGCAUUCUUUUCAGGGUAGGAAGGCCUUCACCACUCAAAAUGUGAUGGCAGCGGUAGAUUUUGAUCUACGCUUCACAUAUGUGUUAGCUGGUUGGGAAGGGUCAGCACAUGAUGCAACUGUUUUAGCUGAUGCAUUAACACAUGAGAGGGGCUUACAAGUACCACCGGGAAAGUUCUACCUAGUUGAUGCUGGCUAUGGAGCAAAGCCUGGGUUCUUGCCCCCUUUUCGUGGUGUGAGGUACCAUUUGAACGAGUGGGGCAACAAUCCAGUCCAAAAUGAUAGGGAGCUAUUCAACCUUAGGCACUCAUCUCUACGGGUGACGGUGGAGAGGGCUUUUGGAUCUCUGAAGAGGCGCUUCAAAA